UAAUAUGUGUCAUGGCUAAAACCUUCUUCUCUAUAAGGCCAAAAAUCUAAUUCUCUAAAUUAUUCUUGACCCUCUAACAAAGGAACAAAUAUUGCACCCUCCUCUGCUAUCCCUAAACUAAUCUUUCUUGAUGAAGAAUAGAUUGGCAGUAAUUGAGAUAUUAUUCUUGCCUCAAAAUACACAAAGAGAGUAUCAUUCACCAUUCUAGGAUAAAAAAAGAG
This 221-nucleotide long non-coding RNA is filed under the name Capsicum annuum. Its description in RNAcentral is "long non-coding RNA (CANN_LNC001549)". The record is from RNAcentral. Lineage: Eukaryota; Viridiplantae; Streptophyta; Magnoliopsida; Solanales; Solanaceae.